UACGGGGGGGGCAAGCGUUGUUCGGAAUUACUGGGCGCAAAGGGCUCGUAGGCGGCCAACUAAGUCUGACGUGAAAUCCCUCGGCUUAACCGGGGAACUGCGUCCGAUACUGGAUGGCUUGAGUGUGGGAGAGGGAUGCGGAAUUCCAGGUGUAGCGGUGAAAUGCGUAGAUAUCUGGAGGAACACCGGUGGCGAAGGCGGCAUCCUGGACCACGACUGACGCUGAGGAGCGAAAGCCAGGGGAGCAAACGGG
This 253-nucleotide ribosomal RNA is filed under the name uncultured bacterium. RNAcentral describes it as "partial 16S ribosomal RNA". It matches the Rfam family "Bacterial small subunit ribosomal RNA", at positions 524 to 776 of the family's 1533-position model. The record is from RNAcentral.